AGCAGUAGCCGCGGGAAUACGAAGGGUGCAAGCGUUAAUCGGAAUUACUGGGCGUAAAGCGUGCGCAGGCGGUUGUGUAAGACAGGUGUGAAAUCCCCGGGCUUAACCUGGGAACUGCGCUUGUGACUGCACAGCUAGAGUAUGGCAGAGGGGGGUGGAAUUCCACGUGUAGCAGUGAAAUGCGUAGAGAUGUGGAGGAACACCGAUGGCGAAGGCAGCCCCCUGGGCCAAUACUGACGCUCAUGCACGAAAGCGUGGGGAGCAAACAGGAUUAGAUACCCGAGUAGUCCCUGUCUCUUAUAC
RNAcentral lists this ribosomal RNA (303 nucleotides) under uncultured bacterium. RNAcentral's name for it is "partial 16S ribosomal RNA". It matches the Rfam family "Bacterial small subunit ribosomal RNA", at positions 507 to 807 of the family's 1533-position model. The record is from RNAcentral.